This 252-nucleotide ribosomal RNA is filed under the name uncultured bacterium. RNAcentral describes it as "partial 16S ribosomal RNA". It matches the Rfam family "Bacterial small subunit ribosomal RNA", at positions 524 to 776 of the family's 1533-position model. The record is from RNAcentral.
UACGAAGGGGGCUAGCGUUGCUCGGAAUCACUGGGCGUAAAGGGUGCGUAGGCGGGUCUUAAGUCAGGGGUGAAAUCCUGGAGCUCAACUCCAGAACUGCCUUUGAUACUGGAGAGCUUGAGUCCGGGAGAGGUGAGUGGAACUGCGAGUGUAGAGGUGAAAUUCGUAGAUAUUCGCAAGAACACCAGUGGCGAAGGCGGCUCACUGGUCCGGUACUGACGCUGAGGUGCGAAAGCGUGGGGAGCAAACAGG